Molecule: RNA transcript, 7052 nt
Organism: Ostrea edulis (European flat oyster)
Lineage: Eukaryota; Metazoa; Mollusca; Bivalvia; Ostreida; Ostreidae
Exons: 3
Source: RefSeq, a predicted model, not a curated record
UUUAUCCGUAGUCAAAAUCAGUGUGUUAAGAACGGCCUAAAUAUCAGUAUGAAACACGUCAGACAGCAUUUGACCCAGUGAUAGGUUGUAUUAACGAACUAGAUCGUUAUAACGACCAUAGAAUUUGCAAAAUACUGACUUCAAUCGAGACUGUUGAAACCCCUGUUCCAUCAACUUGUUUGUCAGUAGCUUGGCCCGAUUUAAAAACUGACUAGACGCAGAACAACCUCUUGCGUAUCGAAUCAGUUGAGAGAUAUAAACACCAUAUCCAGGUGAUAAUGAAAUAUUGCUAUUUAAGUAUGGGAAGUUGACGAUGGAGAAGGUGAAAUAAUCCCGUUUAUCAUACAGUUGAGUUGUCAGUUUGUCAUUAAUGUCUACUUCCAAUAAAAUAUCUAAGUAUGAAGCAGAAGUGGACGACUCUAUGGUGUAUUUUAUUUCGAGCUCACAGGUAUAUAUUGAAUAGACAUAUGAAUGAACAUAUUAUUGUUAAUAGACAAAACAUCGUCGAUAUAUCCCAAUUUCGAAUUGAAGGUCACAGCAAGAGCUUUUUUCUUCUCACGUAGAAGUUUUUGAAUAAAUUCUGCUUCAUAUGAAUAUAGAAACAGGGCAGCUAACAAUAGAGCACAAUUCGUGCCCAUGGGGAUUCCAACAGACUGUUGGAAGACCUGAUCACCAAAGACCACGAAGAUAUUGUCAAUGAGGAACUCUAGCAUAUUUUUUAUUUCAACUUCAGAGUACUUGUGCGUGGAAUCAGAGUGGUGUUUAACAGUUAUUUUUUGGAUGACUGAUCACUAGAUAUGAAUAUUUCCGUUUUCCCCUUUUUUGUUGAAGAAGAAACUGUCUAUGUUAUCAAAAAAUCUCGUCUUUAAUUUAUCGUGUAAAGUGUUGAAAAGUCAUAGGUUUUGAUGUUAUUGAUUUGGGAAAAGUUUUGCGAUUUCAAGUUUACUAAAAGUUCUGUAAAAAAUUUUAGAAUUCACAUUUGAUUAUACCACUUCCGGUAUGUGUAGUCGCACAGUCAGUUUGAAGUUUCUCCUUUAUAGGUGUUAAUAUUUUCGUGAGGAGCAACGUUAGGGGUUUGGUAGAAAAUUUACUAGACCUAGCAAUGUAUUUUUGUUUGCAAGGGUUUUAUGUAGUUUAGGAAUCCAGUAUAGGUACGGUAACUCAUGUUCAUUCGAGCCAUUGACUGGGAUAUUAAAUGUGUCUAAAACUGAAUCAUGGUUUUGAAGAUUUUCAUCUUUUGAAAGGGUAGUUGGAGUAUAAGUAGAACUACCAAAAGCGGUAUUAAUGCCAAGUUCGUUUAAAAUACAGUUUGCAAUAAUGAGCCUUACAAAGACAAUGUUGUUACAAGCUUUGUCAACUCGAACCAAAUCAUACUCCGCAUGUAACCUAUCUAAUUCUUUUAUCACCUCUGGUUUACUAAACACAGAAGGAUAGAUGGUACAUAAUUUUGUUUUAAUAUGUCUAAUGCGGGAUUUUAAUGUUCCUCUUAUGCUUUUAACCUAUUCUGACAAUGUAUCAAGCUCCCUUUUUCAUAUUUAUGCCAUCGUUUGUCAUAAUCUUCGACAGAAUUCAUAAUAUUGAUGAAGAUCUAUCGCCAAUUGAAAGGCCAAGGUUCUUUGUAUUUAGGACCUUUUAGAAUAAAUGAUUUGAGGUCCUCAUUUUCAACUAUAUCAACAUCACCAGUAAUGACAUGUCCAGCUGGACUAUGGUUGAAAGAAGAUGAAGAACAAGAACACGAAUAAGAUGGUCUAUAUCUAGGCAAAUUGAAGUCCAAGCUUAUGGGAACCCAUCUAAAUACCAAAGGUGAAGUCUCCAUGAAGGUGAAGUUACCAAAUAUUCAUUCUUUUUCAAUCGCAUUUGCCGAUAAUCCGAGAUUCCUCUGACUCUUUCCCCUGCUCUUAUAUUGUGAGAUGUGCGGGGGAGAGUCAGAGCGGACUCCAUAUUGAAAAGUGGGAAUUGAGCGACACCCACUGCUGUCGCCGUUUUACCUAUCUCUAACAACUUUAUUUCGCGGAUGUAUCUUCCAAGACGUGAGGAUUCAGUUAUCGGAAGAAUAUUCUACAAACAGACCAUGAUUAAUACGAUCCUAUCGCCGUUUAAACGAUGGAAUGUUGUGUUCAUCGCGUGCUGACGUCAUGCUCAAAGAAGCAGCGACCUAAUUCAAGAGAUGCUUCAUUUGUCGGAGUUUAUCUGACUCUCCCACGGACAUGUCAUGAUAUAAAAGCGGGAGUAAGAGCCAGAGGAAUGUCGGAUUAACUUGCUGAGAACCCUCUAUCUUGAUUAUGUAUACGGGAUAAUUCGUACGCAAAACUAGUAUGAAACGAAUAGCUAUAAAACACUUCUGGGAGCAUUCAUUCGACCCAAUAAUAGGUUAUAUUUGCAAACAAAAUCAUGAUAAUGAUUGGUUAUAUUUGCAAACAAAAUCAUCAACUUAUUUGUCAGUAGCCUGCCUCGGUUAAGAAAUUCAUCAUACGCAGACGAAAAUGUUGCGUAUCGAAUUAGUUGAAAUUGAUUGAUUGUAUCUUCCUUAACUUUUUCACUCACAUGGAGACUUCACCAUUGCCGUUGAAGGGCUUCAAAUCUAGUCCUAUGGCCGGCGCUUACGGCCAUUGAGCAGUGAGGGUUCUUUAGCGUGUCACACUUACUGUGACACGGGAGAUCCGUUUUUAAGUCACCUGAGUAAACUCAGGUGACCUAUUGCAAUUGGUUGUCUUCCGUCGUCGUGUGUUAACAUUUGAACAUUUUUACCUUUUUCUUGAUAACUAGCAGUCCAAUUCUUUUCAAUUUUAGCAUGAAGCAUCAUUUGGACGAGGGGGACAUAGAUUAUGAGUUUCAGGACUGUUGUUCUCCUAGGGGCAGGGCAAGAGCUGCUCAAAUUUACCAAUUUUCAAAAAUCUUCACAAGAACCACACACGUGUAAGAAAAACUAAAUGCAUACUGACGUAGAGCAGGAAAGCCUCUACCACAAUUGUAAAUUUCAUGAUCCCCGGGGUAGGGCUUCUGACCCCAGAGCAGGGCGAAACUUGGUAUAUAAUGUUUGUGUGUAAUACACUGAAAAAACAUCUUCUUUAGUGCUAUUGAUAGUAAAUUGAAAAUAAAUAGAUAUUUAGUAAGUAGUAAUUCACCAAAAUUGUAAAUUUGAUGAUCCCAGGGCUAGGGGUUUUGGUAUCAGAGAGGGGCCAAAAUGGUCACUUAUUAAAUGUGUGAACAAUAGACGUUUUAACUUCUUCUUGAUAGCUAUCAUUCCAAUUGUUUUCAAAUUUGGUAUGAAACAUAUUUGGAACAAGGGGGGGGGGGUAUAAAUUUAAAAUUUCAGGAUUCCUGCACCUUGUGGACUUAGGGCUGGAGCAAAAACUGCCAUGAAAUGACCAAUUUUCAAAAAAUCUUCUUCUAUAGAAUUGCACAUGUUGACAAAAACUAAAUGCAUAGUGAUGUAGAGCAGGAAGGCCUCUACCAAAAUGUUUGUCAGCAGCCUGUGUCAAUUUAAAUAUUGAUUAUACGGAGAACAAGGUCUUGCGUAUCAAAUCUGUAGAGAGGUAUAAACACCAGAUGCAGGUGAUAAUGGAAUAUUGCUACAUAAAGUUGACGAUGAAGAAGCUGAAAUCAUCCCGUUUGUCAUAAAGUUGAGUUGUUAGUUUGCCGUUAAUCAUAUCAACAAUAACAAAUUAGAGUAUUCAAUGUCGAUUGAUUGAUUGAAUAUUAUUUUACGUCCCUCUCGAGAAUAUUUCACUCAUAUGGAGACGUCAUCAUUGCCGGUGAAGGGCUGCAAAAUUUAGGCCUAUGCUCGGCGCUUAUGGCCAUGGAGCAGGGAGGGAUCUUUAUCGUGCCACACUUGCUGUGGCACGGGACCUCGGUUUUUGCGGUCUCAUCAGAAGGACCGCCCCAUUUAGUCGCCUCUCACGAAAGGCAAGGGGCACUGAGGACCUAUUCUAACCCGGAUCCCCACGGGAUUGCAAUGUCGACAUAGUUGCAUGUAUAGUGUUCAAAGAAGUCAUUUUUUGCAAUAGUGUCGAGAAUAAUUUAGAUACUGCAUCAAAUUCAUUCAGUGUCAGUUGAAUCAUUGUCUUCUUCUUGACUAUCAUGUUCUCAUCUGUCGUAUUCCUUGUUUCGGGAUCAAGGUUUGGGUUAUAUAAGUUAUGUCAUUGUAUUUCGAACAUCGUAAACUGUGCGAUUAUGGUUGGCUCCUCCUUUAUGAAGAAAAUGUCCGAAGUACUGUUCCAGUGGAUCCAAAUGAAAUUUGUACCUGUACCCAAUAUGAAUUAUAUGCAUUCUGUGGUUGAGUUUAUAGAUGCUUGUCUGAUGACUAAGCUGCUAUAUAUAGAUGUAUGUCUCUGAUGAAAUGAAUUGAUCUAUUUUUAGAAAUCAUUGUCGAGGAGACGCACCGUUGUGCUAAUAUAUGCAUGCUUUCCUCCGCGUUUCAAUGAUCAUAGUUAACAUAAUCUGUACACUGCUCAAGGAAGUUUUUAAUAAAGACUAUUCAAUUGUCAGUUGUGAAAUAGAGAGAAUCGUUCCGAUAAAAUUUAGGUUUCAGACAUUCUCUUACACAGGUCAGCGGGAUUCGUUUACAGAGUAAUUCUGGUUAAAAUGAAUCACAUCAUGGUUAACACCAAGACAACCCCGAGGAAACAGCCUGAGAAUUGUCCGAUGUGUACAUUUUGCACAUCAAAUCCCGAAGCUCUACUUAAUCAUGUUCUAGAGUGCGGAAAGAAACAACAAGAAAAACAGUUGAAGUGUGAUAAGUGCCCUUAUGUUUCACUGAGAAAAGUUAAUUUAAACAGACACAAAAAGUCUAAGCACCCAAAUGAGAAAACUGAGCAAAAUGAGAAGGUUCCAGCACCUAUAUCUAGUCUUCGUGAAGACUUACAGCUCUCCAGUGACUCAAGUCCUAAUGACACUGAUGCAGAAGAACAGAACAUAAGCAACGUUGUACCUGACAAUAGUGUAAUAAACUUCGAUGAGGAUCCUGAUGAGUCUUCAGCUCGAAGAGAUCAAGUGAGUGAGAGAGAAGCGGAGGUGCAGAAUUCGUUGAUUCUUGGUAGAGUCGUAAGAAAAAGAACAAUGCCUGAAAUAUUCAUUCCUGCAAAGAAAUCCAAGUUCUCAACUGGAAGUAUAAAGACAACGCAUGCUCCCGACGUGAGAAGAAACUCAGGUCAUGGAUGUGAAGUGGAUGCGGUUGUACCAUCUAUCCCUGGACCUUCUCAAGCGCGGUCUGUGAACAAUAAAGAUAAGACACUAAAACAUGUUGCAGUGCAGACUGAGCCAACUCAGUAUAGCAGAGUUGAAAAGACUGUCACAACUAGAUCUGAUGAUGGUACCAUUAGAGUUAGUCAUGUAGUAGAGGAAGAAGUUGUUAUCAAACUGUAAAAGGAACAGUAAUUUUUCUAGUUUACUCAGUUUAAUGUAUAGAUAAUACUCAUAUUUGUUCCUGAGUAAACUGGUUAUAUAAUAUAACAUUUUUUUUCUCCUCAUGUGGUUUAUUCUUUGUUAUGUAGAGAUUUGCUUAAAGUAGUAUUGCAUAUUAUAUUGUACAUGUAUAUUGAUAUAUGAUGAAAAUUUUUGUCUUACUUGAGCUCUUUUGAGAUAAAUGCCAAGAUGUUUUUGAGUUACAGUUAGUAUGAAGAGUUUAGUUAAGUGGAUUCAUAGAAAUGAUUAGAAUGUAGAAAUGCGGGACGCAUUCCUCUUGGGAGGGGGUAGUGUAAUGUAAAUAGUGUUAUUAAAUUUGAAUUUGGCGCCAUUAGUUGGCAUGUGACCUUGACUUCCGCUAUAAGGGUAUAUAAACGUCAUCCCGCUAGCGUCAGCACUUUCAGUGUUAGUUUGGCUUUCGAAGUGUAAAGUUGCUGCGAGAAGAUUUUAGGUAAGCCGACAGUUUCCCAUAAGAGAACGUGGAUAAAGUAUCCUUACUCUCGCGGGAAUAGCUCGACUAGUCCUUAGUGGACAGAUAUAGUGUUUAUCGUUAUAAAAUAAAAGUGCUGAGUAGCUGAGUACUCAUUUGUUGAGCACUCAUUUCACCUUUUUUAAGGCAGGAGGUUUUGCUCAUCCGUUGAGUAAUAUUUUUUCUAAAGUAACAUUUUGUAUAUAGUUGGUUGAUCUUAGUUGAUUAUUUUGAUAGUGAUUUUUAUUAGUGAUUAGUUAGUUAAGUAAUUAAGGGUAAUCAUUUUAUUUUCACGAGAGGAACUCGUUUCGCCGUAUUUGUAUAUUUUGGCAGGCGAUUAUUAGUUUUAUAUAUAAGUAAACAUCAUUAUAGAGUCUCGGUCUCAGUUUAGUAACUGAGGGAUCCCGUAAACGGAAGAGAACACGUUACAAUAACAGUGACCAAUCUCAUUAAGAAUGCGAAAUUAGCAGUAGGACAAACAUGGACUCCUGGAUAUACCAGAUAUGUAAUCAGGUGCCUAAGUGUUAAGCAUCCCCUGUUGACCAGUCACACGACGUGAGCCUUGUAUCUUGAUCGGUUAGACGCCGUGUAUAUUGAUCAGGUAAACGGAGUAAUCCGUAAUCAAAUUCAGUGUGUAUAAAACGGCCUAAGAAUCGGUAUGACACACUUCAAACAGUAUUUGACCCAAUGACAUGCUGUAAUGGCAAACGAUAUCAUUAUAACGACCAUAGAAUACAGUUUCCAAAUACGAAGCAGAUAUGGAAGACUCUGUGGUGUCUUUUAUUUCAAGUUCACUGGGUUAUGUCGAAUCAACGUUUUGAUUGAUUGUAUAAUGUUUAACGUCCCUUUCGAGAAUAUUUUACACAUAUCAAGACAUCAACAUCGCCGGUAAAGGGCUAUUAAAUUUACGCAUGUGCUCGACGCUUACGGCCUUUGAGCAGGGAGGGCUCUUUAUCGUGCCACACCUGCUGUAAACGGGACCUCGGUUUGUGCCGUCUCAUCUGAAAGACCGCCCCAUUUAGUCGCCUCUUACGACAAGCAAGGAAUACUGAGGACCUAUUCUAACCCAGAUCCUCACGGGACUAAAUCAACGUAUAAAUGAAAAGGAGAUUGAUCAUUGUUUGUUAUCUUUACUUUUUCAUUGUUCUGAAUUUUUACGUAUAAAUGAAAAGGAGAUUGA